This 408-nucleotide ribosomal RNA is filed under the name uncultured bacterium. RNAcentral describes it as "partial 16S ribosomal RNA". It matches the Rfam family "Bacterial small subunit ribosomal RNA", at positions 28 to 526 of the family's 1533-position model. The record is from RNAcentral.
GACGAACGCUGGCGGCGUGCUUAACACAUGCAAGUCGAACGAAGUGGCGAACGGGUGAGUAAUACGUGGGUAACCUGCCCUCCUUUUUGGGAUAAGCCUUGGAAACGGGGACUAAUACCGAAUAAAGGGGGAUGGGCCCGCGGCCUAUCAGCUUGUGGUUGGGGUGAUGGCAUACCAAGGAGGUGACGGGGAGCCGGCCUGAGAGGGUGCCCGGCCACAUUGGGACUGUUAUACUGCCCAGAUGCCUAGGGGAUGCAGCAGUGGGGGAUAUUUCACAAUGUGCGAAAGCCUGAUCCAGCCAUGCCGCGUGUGUGAAGAAGGUCUUCGGAUUGGAAAGCACUUUAAGUUGGGAGACGUUACCCGCAGAAGAAGCACCGGCUAACUCCGGUCCAGCAGCCGCGGUAAUUC